AGAAUCAACGCUGGCGGCGUGCCUAACACAUGCAAGUCGAACGAGAAAAGGACUUCGGUCCUGAGUAAAGUGGCGCACGGGUGAGUAACACGUGACUAACCUACCCUUGAGUGGGGAAUAACUUCGGGAAACCGAGGCUAAUACCGCAUAACACCUACGGGUCAAAGGAGCAAUUCGCUUAAGGGAGGGGGUCGCGGCAGAUUAGCUAGUUGGCGGGGUAAUGGCCCACCAAGGCAGUGAUCUGUAU
RNAcentral lists this ribosomal RNA (247 nucleotides) under uncultured bacterium. RNAcentral's name for it is "partial small subunit ribosomal RNA". It matches the Rfam family "Bacterial small subunit ribosomal RNA", at positions 26 to 286 of the family's 1533-position model. The record is from RNAcentral.